GGAAGGAUCAUUAACACGUAUCGAACGUUAAACCCCGUGCACGUUGACGGCCGUAUGGCAAUCAAGAAAAAUCGGACUUUUGGCAGCUCACGACAGUGUGGGAUUGGUGGCAAGCUAUGUUUCGUUCUGAGCCGAGACAGGGCUUUCUAAUUGGGCUGUUGACAGCAAAGUUUGUUGUGGAUCAUCUGUUUUUCGUGGUGUGGGAUGGCCUGUUGGUGGCUUUGUUUGUUGUGGGUGAUUUGUUUCCCGUGACGUGGAAUUGAGGAGCAGGCGCGCGGUUGUUGAGAUUGGCAAUGACAGAGGGACUAACUGAAUAUCCCGAUGGAGUCGUCUCAGCCUUCUGGGGGGGGCAUGUGUAAUGCAUGUCGUUCCUGGUCGCCCGAAUAACGUUUCUGCGCUUUCAUUCUGUGUUGUGGGGAGUGAGUUGUCUGCGGUGAGCAGAGUUGUUGAUAGACUGUUCUGUGCUGUGGGAGGUGGGUGGUCUGUGGUGAGCAGAGCAGUUGAUGGACCGUCCUGUGUUGUGGUGGGUUGUUGAAGGCGAGAUUUUUCUGGCGAGAAUGUUCUAGCCAAUCAUGGCAUCGGUCUUCUGUGCGAUCUUCUGCGCCUGAUCUGGGGAUGGGAACUAGCCAACCCCCUUUUUGAUUAACUUAAACCGAACUAAUCUGACAAAACUUGUCCGAAAGGACUCGAAACCCGAACAACUGUUAACAAUGGAUAUCUUGGUUCUCGCAACGAUGAAGAACGCAGCGAAAUGCGAUACGUAAUGCGAAUUGCAGAAUUCAGUGAAUCAUCGAAUCUUUGAACGCAAAUGGCGCCCUUGGGUUACCCCUAAGGGCACGCCUCGCUGACUAUCGGUUUAAUCCUCGUAUCCUACCCCUUUUAAGGUGGUGGUGAUAAGCGUUGAGUGUUAGGCAUUCCCUUAACUGAGGAGUGUCUAUCGCUUUAAAAAUAGUCAUUCCACUCAUUGAAUGGCUCUUGCAAGUUGAAUUCAGUUCGCUGAAUGAAGAUUUACAAGAGUCAUCCGACAGUUUCUGGAGAAGAGAAAGAGGGCGCGAAAUUGGCAGCUCGGACAAGGACUGAACUUUGUGAGUAUAGAUGGCAAAAAAAAAAAUUGGAGUCAAGGCGCGGCCGAUGCGAGAAGUGGGUUGUCUUCGGACAGACUGUUUUUUGCUGUGGCAGUGUCGACGAAAAUUUUUACAAGCCUGUCUGUGCGACGCAUGUUUGGGUCUUGGCUUAGCAAAAGCCGAUAUUGUGCUGUCUUUUCCAUCACCGGUCUCGGUUGGCCUUGAGGCAUAGGUUUGCUGGAAAAAGUCGAAAAUCGCAAGGAAAGAAAAUGAAGAACGAAGAUGUCCUUUUUCUGUCUCGCCUUUUUGUAUAAACGCCUUUAGUACAAAAGGGAGAGAGGGGGAAAGUCGCAUCGGAGUUUAUCACCUCUUUUCUUACUCUAAAUCAGAUGUCAGCUGAGGUGGGAAAACCCCCUGAAUUUAAGCAUAUUAUUAAGGGGAGGAAAAGAAACUAACAAGGAUUCCCCUAGUAACGGCGAGUGAAGCGGGAAGAGCUCAAGCCUGAAAUCCCUGAGUGUAACAACCUAGGGAGUUGUGGCCUAUAGACGUUCUCUCAGUGCUGUACCGGUUAUAAAUCCUUUGAAACAGGGUAUCAUAGAGGGUGAGAAUCCCGUCUUUGAGCUGGAUACAAGUGCGUACGAGGAGCGUUCUGAGAGUCGCGUUGCUUGGGAGUGCAACGCAAAUUGGGUGGUAAAGUUCAUCUAAAGCUAAAUACUGGCGAGAGACCGAUAGCGAACAAGUACCGUGAGGGAAAGAUGAAAAGAACUUUGAAAAGAGAGUUAAAAAGUACUUGAAAUUGUUAACAGGUAAGGGCAGGAAACCAGUAUAUUCUUGGGCACAUUUGCGGUCGCCUUACGGUUGCUGUUACUUGUGUUCGGGAGAGUCAUCGUCACUUAGAAUCUUUGGAGAAAGCGUAUAGAUUGGUGCCUUCCUUCGGGUUGGUUUAGUCCGUACGUCCUACAUUGGCUCUGAGUGAGGACGAGAACCCGCACGCUUCGGCGUACGGCGCUCUGUUGUCUGUUUGCCCUAGCGCGUGAGAGAGCAAAGCUCUGUCUGUGCAAAAGGUGAAUACUACGAUGGAAGCGUCAGUUGCAGGGUUCGCGACGAUGACGAAAUGGUUUUCUUCCACCCGUCUUGAAACACGGACCAAGGAGUCUAACAUAUAUGCGAGUAUUUGGGUGACAAACCCUGAUGCGCAAUGAAAGUAAAGUGGGUUUCGGCCCAUGAGGUGGGAAUCUUACCUUCGGGUGGGAGGCACCAUCGACCGAUCGUUCGCUUGCGAAAGAUUUGAGUAAUAGCAUAUCUGUUGGGACCCGAAAGAUGGUGAUCUAUGCCUGAACAGGGUGAAGCCAGGGGAAACUCUGGUGGAAGCUCGUAGCGAUACUGACGUGCAAAUCGUUCGUCUGAUUUGGGUAUAGGGGCGAAAGACUAAUCGAACCAUCUAGUAGCUGGUUCCCUC
RNAcentral lists this unclassified non-coding RNA (2523 nucleotides) under uncultured fungus. RNAcentral describes it as "sequence contains 18S rRNA gene, ITS1, 5.8S rRNA gene, ITS2, 28S rRNA gene". The stretch from base 1452 to 2523 matches the Rfam family "Eukaryotic large subunit ribosomal RNA", at positions 1 to 961 of the family's 3401-position model. The record is from RNAcentral. Lineage: Eukaryota; Fungi.